CAAUAGCGUAUAUUAAAGUUGUUGCAGUUAAAAAGCUCGUAGUUGGAUUUCUGGGAGGGUGCCAAUGUCCGCCGACGUGCGUGUGCAGCGGCGCCCUCUCAUCCUUCUGUUAACGCCUACUGGCAUUGCAUUUUGCUGGUGGCGGGCUCAGAUAUUUUACCUUGAGAAAAUUAGAGUGUUUCAGGCAGGCUAGGCCGGAAUACAUUAGCAUGGAAUAAUGGAAUAGGACUACGGUCUCUUUGUUGGUUUGAGGGACUGCAGUAAUGAUUAAUAGGGAUAGUUGGGGGCAUUAGUAUUUAAUUGUCAGAGGUGGAAUUCUCAGAUUUGUUAAAGACUAACUUAUGCGAAAGCAUUUGCCAAGGAUGUUUUCAUUAAUCAAGAACGAAAGUUAGGGGAU
RNAcentral lists this ribosomal RNA (397 nucleotides) under uncultured eukaryote. RNAcentral's name for it is "SSU rRNA". It matches the Rfam family "Eukaryotic small subunit ribosomal RNA", at positions 592 to 998 of the family's 1831-position model. The record is from RNAcentral.